This is a long non-coding RNA of Erpetoichthys calabaricus (reedfish), 537 nucleotides long. RefSeq lists it as uncharacterized. The transcript is spliced from 3 exons. The record is from RefSeq and is a predicted model, not a curated record. Lineage: Eukaryota; Metazoa; Chordata; Cladistia; Polypteriformes; Polypteridae.
CUUGCCUUGAACUUUCUUCUACAGUUUUUGGAUUAUUCUUCUUCUGUUAUUUUCCCCGGACUGUGAUAACUUUCUGCGUGUUUGAGUUUGUCCCUACCUGUCUUUAUGCUUGAAGUAGAUCUUUGAAUAUCAUGUAUUCAGUUUUGAAGUGCAGAGAAAAUGUUUAAAGAACAGAGUUCAUGGAAUUUGAUAUUUAAUAAAUGAUGUCAAAGAGAGCGCAAUUUCACAGAAGUGGUUUCAGCCAGGUGGUUGCUAGGAGCUGAUGUUAAUCCUUUAUGUGCUGCUAAAAGAACAUAACCUCUGAGGACAACAGUUUGUGUGCUUUCUUAUGCAGAAGAACAUUGGGGUCCAAAGCCCCAAUCUAUUAACUAUGGCAUCCAUGAAGUGUGUGGAAGCAACGAAGCCAAAGAGAAAGGUUGUAGUAUUGACGAUUGAGGUGAAAAAGGAGUUUACAGUGAAGUACAGUUAUUUGGUGUGUUUAUGGAAGGUGACUCCCCUUCCAAACAGUAACCUUUCUCUUCCUCUCCACCAGCCACA